RNAcentral lists this long non-coding RNA (437 nucleotides) under Capsicum annuum. RNAcentral describes it as "long non-coding RNA (CANN_LNC021928)". Lineage: Eukaryota; Viridiplantae; Streptophyta; Magnoliopsida; Solanales; Solanaceae. The record is from RNAcentral.
AUUAAUUAGUAAUAUAUAUGGUAUUAUGAUGAUUCAUAUGGUAAAUAUAAUUAUUUAUUUUAAUUAUUGGGCUAUCCAUAUAUAUGGUAUUAUUGUGAUUCAUAUGGGAGAUAUAUUUAUUUAUUUCAAUUAUUGAGUGAUUCAUAUGAUAUUAAUGGGUGAUAUAUAUGUAUUAUGAUGAUUCAUAUGGUAGAUACAAUUGUUUAUUUCGAUUAUUGGGUGAUUCAUAUGUCAUUAAUGAAAGGUAAUGGUGUAGUCAGUAUAGGAAACAAAAGUAAUAAUAUUUUAAAAAAAAGAUUAAAAGCAGAAAUGAAAUAUAAUUAAAAUUAAAUCUAGAAAAAGUAGAUUAAAAUUAAAGACGAAAAAAAAAGAAAAAAGAUAAAAAAAACACAUCUUUCAUAAUUAAAGAUGAAAAAGAGAAACGUUAUUAAAACACC